RNAcentral lists this ribosomal RNA (1563 nucleotides) under Triticum aestivum (bread wheat). RNAcentral describes it as "partial small subunit ribosomal RNA". The record is from RNAcentral. Lineage: Eukaryota; Viridiplantae; Streptophyta; Magnoliopsida; Poales; Poaceae.
AUGGAUCUCCCCGAAGAGAUGCUCGCCGACAUCCUGCGCCGCGUCCCGGCGCGCCACCUCGCCGCGUGCAGGCGCGUCUGUGGGUACUGGCGCGCCACCAUCGACGCCGGCAGGCUGGUCCUCCCGCACCUCCUGCCGGGCGCGCCGAGCGGCGCCUUCGUCAACAUGCCCGAGGCCUCGCGCGGCACCUACUUCUUCGCGCGCGGGGGGCCCACCGGCGGCGUCGACACCCGACUCGCCGAUGCGCCGACCAGGUGGUGCACCGCCUUCUUAGACCACUGCAACGGGGUCCUCAUGUGCGAGGCCAGCGAGGGCACGCGCUUCGUCUACAACCCGGCCACGCGGAGGUCGGCGGUGCUGCCGCCCGCGCCGCGCGCCGAGCCCUGGGGCGUCGCCUCCGCCGCGUACCUCGUGUUCGACCCCUUCGUGUCUCUCCACCACGAGGUGCUCCUGCUCCCCGAGCUGCCCGGCGAGCCCCAGCCCCCCGAACCCACCGACCCGCCGCCGCUGCCGCCGUUCAACGUUGCGCGGCUCUUCUUCGCGGACGCCGAGUCGUCGCCGCCGCCUCAGAUCGUCACCGACGAGGAGGACUGGUUGUCCUCGGACUCGGAAGACGAACCGCGGAAGCUUGCGAGGCCCCGUCAGCGUGAGCACAUCGAGGCGAAGGACACCUUGGGGCUUAUGGAAUGGCCGCCGUCGCCGUACGUGGUGCAGGUGUUCUCGUCCGAGACCGGCCGGUGGGACGACAGGGCGUUCUUCCGGGAAGGCGCCGCCGCCGGGACGGUGGCCGACAUGUGGUCGGAUCCACUGUCAUCCAGCUACGUUAUGGGAUUUUAUCUACCCGAUUGCGGGCCGCGCCGCCGCGACGCCGUCUACUGGCGGCAAUCGCUCUACGUCCAUUGCCGCGGCGGUUUCAUCAUCAGGUUGUCGCUGCUGACGGGGAAGUAUGUGGUGAUCAAAACCCCAGGAGUCACCAAAGUCGCCGAGCGUCCGUGGGCUAUGCCGCGCCUGAGCAAGUCUCGGAAGGGGGUUUACUGCACCAUCAUCGACAUGCUAAAGCUCCAGGUAUGGGUACUGACCGAAGAAGAAUCACCGACGGCGACGCCAGUGUGGGAGAUGGCACAUCAGGCCGACCUCGAGCCCUCCAUCAGGCAACUGAUGUGCAAAAGCCUCCAAAACACUGAGAAGUCUUGGAUCCUGGACGAUCCCAGGAGAUCGAAAUCAUCUGCGGAGCAGAGAUGCCGCGAAUGGGACUCUGACAACGACGACGAUGAUGGCGCCUAUGUUGAGGAAGAAGAAGGGGGUGGCGCCUUUGGUUGGCUGGAUUUCUUGGGGUACCAUCCUCAUAAGGAGAUUGUGUUGUUGGGCCACCAGUACAAGCGUUGUGCUUAUGCCUACUACCUGAGCACCUCCAAGCUUGAGUACCUUGGUGAUCUUUGUCCGGUACCAGAUGAUUAUUUUCCCGCUUGUGUGCAGGAGUCGUACGUGUAUACUCCGUGCAGGAUCGACCUGCUGUCUGAUGAGAAUGGUGUCUCUGUUGAUUUGAGUAAAUGGGUUUCAUAA